CAUUUUUUCCAGCAUUUUUACAGACUUUGUAUUCACUGUUCAUCAACAAAAACUGAAUUGAUUGUGAAAUAAAUAAUGGAAUGAAUAAUGAAAUAGUUCCCGCCAAUCUCGGCUCCCUAAACUCGGAAUAAUAGUGCUUGGUCUAUUGUUCGGUAGGCGAAAUUUCGCAAGUGGUCCACGAGUGUAGUCCAUGGACCAGGUCCACAAAGGUAGUCCAUGGACCUGG
This is a non-coding RNA of Paramuricea clavata, 226 nucleotides long. The record is from the annotation of a GenBank genome assembly. Lineage: Eukaryota; Metazoa; Cnidaria; Anthozoa; Malacalcyonacea; Plexauridae.